GAUGAAGAACGUAGCAAAAUGCGAUAAGUAAUGUGAAUUGCAGAAUUCAGUGAAUCAUCGAAUCUUUGAACGCACAUUGCGCCCGCUGGUAUUCCGGCGGGCAUGCCUGUUCGAGCGUCAUUUCAACCCUCAAGCCCCCGGGUUUGGUGUUGGGGAUCGGCUCUGCCCUCUGGGCGGUGCCGCCCCCGAAAUACAUUGGCGGUCUCGCUGCAGCCUCCAUUGCGUAGUAGCUAACACCUCGCAACUGGAACGCGGCGCGGCCAUGCCGUAAAACCCCAACUUCUGAAUGUUGACCUCGCAUCAGGUAGGAAUACCCGCUGAACUUAAGCAUAUCAAUAAGCGGAGGA
This 347-nucleotide unclassified non-coding RNA is filed under the name soil metagenome. Its description in RNAcentral is "partial contains 5.8S ribosomal RNA, internal transcribed spacer 2, and large subunit ribosomal RNA". The stretch from base 1 to 120 matches the Rfam family "5.8S ribosomal RNA", at positions 35 to 154 of the family's 154-position model. The record is from RNAcentral.